RNAcentral lists this transfer RNA (59 nucleotides) under Fukomys damarensis (Damara mole-rat). It matches the Rfam family "tRNA", at positions 6 to 65 of the family's 71-position model. Rfam says of the family: Transfer RNA (tRNA) molecules are approximately 80 nucleotides in length. Lineage: Eukaryota; Metazoa; Chordata; Mammalia; Rodentia; Bathyergidae. The record is from Rfam by way of RNAcentral.
UGUGGCUCAGUGGUAGAGUGCUUGCCUAGCAUGCAUGAGGCCUGGGUUCAUCCCCAGCA